Molecule: ribosomal RNA, 682 nt
Filed under: Trichosporon coremiiforme
Lineage: Eukaryota; Fungi; Basidiomycota; Tremellomycetes; Trichosporonales; Trichosporonaceae
Also listed under: 2 other names
Description: partial 26S ribosomal RNA
Rfam family: Eukaryotic large subunit ribosomal RNA (bases 1-611)
Source: RNAcentral
UACUUCGCGGGACACCGGAGUCGGGGGCGAGUGAAGCGGGAAGAGCUCAAAUUUGAAAUCUGGCAGUCUUCGAUUGUCCGAGUUGUAAUCUAUAGAGGCGUUUUCCGUGCCGGACCGUGUCCCAGUCUCCUGGAAAGGAGAAUCAAAGAGGGUGAUAAUCCCGUACUUAACACGACCACCGGUGCUCUGUGAUACGUCUUCUACGAGUCGAGUUGUUUGGGAAUGCAGCUCAAAAUGGGUGGUGAAUUCCAUCUAAAGCUAAAUAUUGGCGAGAGACCGAUAGCGAACAAGUACCGUGAGGGAAAGAUGAAAAGCACUUUGGAAAGAGAGUUAAACAGUACGUGAAAUUGUUGAAAGGGAAACGAUUGAAGUCAGUCGUGUUCUUUGGAUUCAGCCAGUUCUGCUGGUCUACUUCCUUUGAACGGGUCAACAUCAGUUUUGUCCGGUGGAUAAAGGCAGUAGGAAUGUAGCUUCUCCGGAAGUGUUAUAGCCUAUUGUCACAUACACUGGGUGAGACUGAGGACUGCAGCUCGCCUUUAUGGCCGACCUUCGGGUACGUUCGAGCUUAGGAUGUUGACAUAAUGGCUUUAAACGACCCGUCUUAAACCCGGGACCAAAAAAAAAAAAAAAAAAAACCACACAACAACCAAAAAACAAAAUACAAACAAAACAAACAACAAAC